Monodelphis domestica (gray short-tailed opossum) is the source of this 1589-nucleotide long non-coding RNA. The record is from Ensembl. Lineage: Eukaryota; Metazoa; Chordata; Mammalia; Didelphimorphia; Didelphidae.
UAAAUAGUAUUUUAUUUAUUAUACAUAACUGUCCUUUGAGAAUUCUUUAAUUUAACCAAAUUGACCUAGUAUUCUACCUCCAUUCUCCACUGCUUAAAAUAUCAAGCUUCUUUCAAUUCCUGUAAUACUUUUCACAUGAGGCAUUUUCGUUUCUCCUAGUUUUUCAUCAUGCCUCUCCUUGGACCUGAAAUUUGUUGCAUUUAGUUUCUAUAGUUUUGCCUUUGCCUUUACUUAUAUAAUACCAGACUCAAUAACCCAUUAGAGAUUUUAGAAUCUGUGACUAUAUCUCUAAAAGAAGUAAUAGAAUCUUGAGGAAAGGAAGUUUAACUGGCAUUCUAAGGUGCUAACUGGAAUUCUGAGAGAGACUUGUGAGGCAUAAAGACAGACAUGGUGGCUCUGCUCAACCGUGGAAAUAAGUACAUGUGCUGCUUGGGGAAACCUGAACUUGACCCUCAGCUCCUUGCUUGUAUUUCUUCCAAGAGUAAUACUGAAAAGUGUGUCUCUAGCCUUGAAGGCAGCUAAGUGAGUUUGAGAAAUUGGAAGUUCUUGGGGUCAUAGCUGAGGAACAGCCAGAGGUUUCCAUAACUCUGCCAUUCUCAGAAAAGAUCUCCACAAAGGAAUGGGAUUGAUAUCUAGCCUCAUUGGACAGAAAGCAUGGACUUUGCAGAAGUUGUUUGGGCAGUACAAGGCUAGAGUGAAGAGCAGAAGUCAAUCUGUCUAGAGACACUUACAGAGACAGUUUGAAUCAGCAUGGAGACAAGCAGAUGAGCAGUCAGCAUAUGAGAGAGAUGGGCAGAAAAGCAGUGCGGGAAGUCAGGGGAAGACAGGGAACCACCAUUGUUUCUACCUUGGAAUCAUCCCUGCUUUCAACACCUGCAUCAAAUCAGUCAGCAGGUCUCAUCAAUCCUUCAUCAACAACAUUACUAUUAUCCAUCAUCUUUUCUCUCAGAGAGUGUACCAUUGCUGAAGUCUUCAAUUCCUUUUCCCUGGAAUUUUUAAUUUGCUUCCUAAUCCAUCCUUUAUACAGUUGCCAAAUUGAGAUUCCUAAUAUAUAUUGGAGCAUGUGACCCCCUACUCAUUCAUUUCCAAUAACUUACUAUUGACUCAAGGAUAAAAUCCAAUACCCUCAAUUAAUGUUGUUUGUUUUUAUUAUUGUUGCAUGAGUUAUUUUCCAGGUUCUGUUCAUUUUUCUCUGCAUCAAUUCUUCCAAUACUUCUCCAAAACCAUCUCUUUCAUCAUAGAAUGAAAUAUGUUAAUAUUUCAUGGCAUUUAUAUACCAUAAUUUAUUUAGCCAUUCUCCCCAGUUGCUGGACAUUUGCUUAGUUUCCAGUUCUUUGCCAAUAUAAAAAAAAAAGAGUUCCCAUAAUUAUUUCUUUAAAUAUGAGUCUAUUUAUAAAACUGUGCAUACCCUUUGAUCUGGUAAUGCUAUUCCCAGGUCUGUAUCCCAAAGAGAUAAUUAAAAAUGGGAAAAGACCCACUUGUAAAAAUAUUAAUAGCUGCUCUUUUUGUGGUGGCAAAGGAUUGGAAAUUGAGUCAAUGUCCAUCAAUUGGGGAAUAAACAAAUUGUGGUACAUGUUGUAAUAAAAAAA